RNAcentral lists this ribosomal RNA (902 nucleotides) under uncultured bacterium. Its description in RNAcentral is "bacterial SSU rRNA". It matches the Rfam family "Bacterial small subunit ribosomal RNA", at positions 8 to 916 of the family's 1533-position model. The record is from RNAcentral.
AGAGUUUGAUCCUGGCUCAGGAUAAACGCUAGCGACAGGCCUAACACAUGCAAGUCGAGGGGCAUCACGUCUUCGGAUGGUGGCGACCGGCGCACGGGUGAGUAACACGUAUGCAACCUACCUGUAAGAGGGGAAUAACCCGGAGAAAUUCGGACUAACACCGCAAAUACAUAAUUACCGCAUGGUAUUUAUGUUAAAUAUUUAUAGCUUACAGAUGGGCAUGCGUAUGAUUAGCUAGUUGGUGAGGUAACGGCUCACCAAGGCAACGAUCAUUAGGGGUUCUGAGAGGAAGGUCCCCCACACUGGUACUGAGACACGGACCAGACUCCUACGGGAGGCAGCAGUGAGGAAUAUUGGUCAAUGGGCGAGAGCCUGAACCAGCCAUGUCGCGUGAAGGAAGAAUGUCCUAUGGAUUGUAAACUUCUUUUAUACAGGAAUAAAGUGUACUACGUGUAGUAUUUUGUAUGUACUGUAUGAAUAAGGAUCGGCUAACUCCGUGCCAGCAGCCGCGGUAAUACGGAGGAUCCGAGCGUUAUCCGGAUUUAUUGGGUUUAAAGGGUGCGUAGGCGGGCUAAUAAGUCAGUGGUGAAAGUUUGCAGCUUAACUGUAAAAUUGCCAUUGAAACUGUUAGUCUUGAGUACAGUAGAGGUAGGCGGAAUGUGUAGUGUAGCGGUGAAAUGCAUAGAUAUUACACAGAACACCAAUUGCGUAGGCAGCUUACUGGAGUGUCACUGACGCUGAGGCACGAUAGCGUGGGGAUCAAACAGGAUUAGAUACCCUGGUAGUCCACGCCGUAACGAUGAUUACUAACUGUUUGCGAUAUAAUGUAAGUGGUACAGAGAAAUCGUUAAGUAAUCCACCUGGGGAGUACGCCGGCACGGUGAAACUCAAUGAAUUGACGG